This 18-nucleotide small nuclear RNA is filed under the name Arabidopsis thaliana (thale cress). RNAcentral's name for it is "snRNA_06013". The record is from RNAcentral. Lineage: Eukaryota; Viridiplantae; Streptophyta; Magnoliopsida; Brassicales; Brassicaceae.
CCCUCAGUAGGAGCUUAG